CUUGUGUAUUGUUUUAUUUAAGAAAAAAAAAACAAUCAACAAAAAACAUCAACUUUUCAUUAAUUAUUUUAUGCUUGUUUUUUUUUUUCAAAGCAAUUAACAAUAACUUUAACAACAACAACAACAGAUAAAAAUUUUCUUUCCUUUUUUUUUUUUUUUAGAAAAUAAUUAAAAAAAAAAAAAAACUGAAAAUACAUUUCCAAGUGUCAACAGAAACUCUAAUUAAAUGAAAAAUAUAAAUUACAAAAUAAUAAUAAUAAUAAAGAAAAAAAUGGGGAGGAAAUCCAAUGAAAUUUUGUUGAAUCAUGUGGAGAAGAUGUGUUUGUUUGGUCCUCCUCGCCCCUCCCCUCCUUGUACAAAUAAAUCAUGAAAUAUGUUGUCUCCUAACUCCGUGAUGGUGGUCGUUCUCUUAACACCUCCACCCCACACUCGCUAUCAAAUCCAAAUGCAAAUAACUCCGUAUCAACAUGUUUGUUUCGAGUAAACAGCUAACCCACCUCCACCUACCUAUUCACACAGGUGUGUGUGUGUAUAUACAUACAUAUAUGCGUAUAUACUUAUAUAUAUAUAUAUAUAUAUGCAUCUGUAUAUGUAAUGUGUUUGCCAUUCCUCUUUUUCUUGUUAAGUGAAGGUGAUUAGCUAAUCCACACGGUAGGUAACUUCACUAUCAUUAAAUAAAAUGUGUGUGUUUUGUGCAGAUAUACACACACACACACACAUGUAUGUAUAUAUAUCAUAGAGAUGUUGUAAAAAACAUUGUAAUAUCAGUGAUAGCAUUCGAAUGCCGCAUGACUGCAAAGCAAUAUCAGAACUUGAAACCGACCUAACCAAAGUCCCUAACCCCUAAGUAGCUUAGGUUACCAUAUACCACCAGUAGGGGCCUGUCACUGGAGAUCUUGGUCUGUGCAAUAUCCAGAUAGGAUAUUACAUAGAUUUCUAAUAUAGAGUGCAUUCAUACACACAUUUAUAUACAGAUUAUUCUUAAACAAGCUAAGAAUAUUAUUGAUAGUCUGACAAUGGCUUAGGUGACUGAAACUUCAAAGUCACUGUCAACAACAUUCUUGUACAAGAAUAAUAAAUUUGUACUCUUCAAAAGUAUAGAGUAACCCAUCAGAUUAAUGUAAAAUAAUUAUAGCUAAUCAUAAAAAAAACAAACAUAUAUAUAUAUGGAAACUCUGCCCUUCUUAGCCACUAUUGUCCCUCAAUCUAUUCUGACCCAGUGUAGUAGCACCUACCAGGGUCCUAGUUACAGGUUAAUUAGAAUGUCAUGGAAUUGCCCCCGGAAGAAGGUCUUCCACAGACACCCCAUCAGACCCAGGCAGAUGAGGCCCUUUGGCCCUUUGGCUGCUCAUGUGCUCCACACAAAUCCUGCAUCCUUGAUAAUUACUGGAUUUGUGGCCGUACAAAAGUGCUACAGUAUGGCUGGAACCACCAACAAAAGCAAAAGAGCCAAUAAUUAGUUAAAGUUUAAAACCUCACCCCAGCACACCCCACCUGUUCCUGGUUCAUUCUUAUAUGCUCUUUUACAGGUUUAGUACCAGCCAAUGGACUGUGCCCCUACUGGAGGCAAAAGUGCCCUCAACGGAUAAUUGCUGAUUAUAUUAGCAUCAGCACUUGCAGUUUGGUGACAUAGGCUGGAUUUGAACUUAGAACUUUAAGGGAUGUGAUCCAAUACCAUGAUGUGGUGUACUUUGUAUCUAUCCCUCCCCCCAUAAGGGUCCUAACUAAUCCUUUCCAUUUUUAUUUUUGCCCCUCUUUGGCUCAGAACACUGUAGUAAGACAGAACUCAAUAAGGUGAAAACAGUCUUGGAGCUCUACUGACCCUAAUGCCUGCCAUCUCCCACCCAGGGGUCUGAAAGGAAAUAAAUAGAAAUGAGUAAAGGAAGAAAAGCAAUCUAUUAUUGAAUAAAGAAGUUUCUAAAACAAGGAGGAGGAGGAGGAGGAGGAAGGGAUGAAAAGAUUGAGAUGAAAGCUUGAUUCUAAAGAUUCCUGGAUGUGUAUGUAUGAAUGUAUACAGAACGUGCAAUGGUUUUGUUAGGUGAGGGCAUUGUUCUUGUUAACCCACUUCCACCAGCUCACCCCCAUUGUGCAAGAUCUAUGAUCAAAAUGUAUUCCAAAUGUGACCAUCCUGUCUUUGUCCAGGCAUGUCUAAGACGACAUUAACUAACAUGUUCUUCCAAACUUUCGUUUUAAUUAAAAGAACAUUUUUCUGUUUCUAAAGACAGUAGGAUGAGAUUUCAAGCAGGCUAAGGGGCUGAUGGGAACCCAGGUCCUCCCCUCCUCCACCACAUUGACAACAUUGUCAUCAUCAUUGAUGUGAGAGAGAGAGAGAGAGAGAGAGGGCAGAGCAAGCACCUUGUUAGAUCUGCACAAAUGGGUGAUUGAACCAAACUGUCCAUCAAUGUUUCUGGGGGUGGCAGUGGUCAUCCGCACCCCCCCCUAUCAUCAUCAUCAUUAUGAUAGAACAGUUCAUGUUUUAAAAAAACCAACAACACUUGACUCCCAUCCACCCAUCUCACAUCUCUUUCCCUUAUGUGAAAGACAUCAAAGAAUUUAGCAAUGUGUGUGUGUGUGCAUCUAUCCGCCUUUCGACCUCUCUCACCGUCUCCAAUACUCUGCUUUGUAUAUUUUCGAUUUAUAGUUGUUUUACAUCGGUUGUUGUUACUCCACCCCCUGCACUCAUUUCCAGAAAUCAAUUCACAAAUCUCAAAAGACUAAGCCCCCCCCCCACAUAUAGACACACAUGUCGCAAACAUAUUAGUUAAAAUUUAAACAUUGACCCUAGUAAAUAUUUACAAGGCAGGGGGGAUGGGAUGGGGGAUGAGGGAGGGAUGUGGAACUGAUGACAUUAUUAUUAUUAUUGGGCGCUAUUUUGUAGAGAAGAGAGUGUCAAAGAGCAACACAUCUCGAGAUCUCCACCAAUAAUUUCUGAUUAAGAAAAAAAAAAAACUUUGGUUGGGGGAAGAGUUAAAAAAUAAAUAAAAACUUUUUGUCACGGACAAUAAAUAUUUUAAUAAAUUACAAAUUGUUAC
This 3032-nucleotide long non-coding RNA is filed under the name Octopus vulgaris (common octopus). The record is from RNAcentral. Lineage: Eukaryota; Metazoa; Mollusca; Cephalopoda; Octopoda; Octopodidae.